This is a long non-coding RNA of Pyrgilauda ruficollis (rufous-necked snowfinch), 193 nucleotides long. RefSeq lists it as uncharacterized. The record is from RefSeq and is a predicted model, not a curated record. NCBI's taxonomy places the organism in Eukaryota, Metazoa, Chordata, Aves, Passeriformes, Passeridae. The transcript has 3 exons.
CGGGCCCGGCGCGGCGCGCGCGGCGGCUGCAGGGGGACGUGAGGCCCGUGAGGUCGGUGCCAGGGAUGCGGCGUCCCGCGGAGGCUGCGGGGCGCUCACAGGAACAGCAGCUCCGUGCUGGAUGGAUGCUCUGAUUAGCAAGACCUACUCUCCAGAUAGGAGACUGGAAGUGAGAGGAAGAAUGACAGAUCAG